RNAcentral lists this long non-coding RNA (11684 nucleotides) under Gossypium barbadense (sea-island cotton). RNAcentral's name for it is "long non-coding RNA (GBAR_LNC020386)". Lineage: Eukaryota; Viridiplantae; Streptophyta; Magnoliopsida; Malvales; Malvaceae. The record is from RNAcentral.
UGAGAAUGAAAACUGCCGAAGGUUGCAUCUAGCUCCACGUGUUCAUCCCACAAGUUUUGAGAUCUCUUGCAAAUUCUGGAUUUAUAUAAUCCCAUUGAUAAAUAUGGGAAAAAAUGGUGAGGAUGCUGAAAAUCAUUAUAUGAACCUAAAAUCAUGAUAAUUAAGUCCAAGUCGAUGGUAACUUCUUCACCAAGACUGAAUUUGCCAGAACCCAGAAAGGGCCUCAAAAGAUUACUUUGAAGUUGUGUUCACAAAUCUGUUGACAACUUGCAUUGUCACCAAAUAUCAGUUAAAACACUUGUAUGAAACAAGCAUUCAGCAAAACAAAUUGAAGCUCUUACAGUUCAGGUGCUCCUCCUUAUAUGGCUAAAGCUCCAAUUCAGCAGUGGCACAAAUAACCAAUCUUUCUAAUGAAUCUAGAUGUCAUUGAAGGAAAAUGCAGCAAGUCUUGAGAUACCAGAUGACACCAAUGCUGGAAACUAAACAAUGAAGCUGAAUCGAGUCCACCACUGGUCCUAUGAAUUAAAAAAAAAACCAACCAAUAACAAGUCAACUGUCAAUAAGAAUUAAGUAUGAAUCUUAAUAUCUGAAUUUUAAGAACACAGACACAACAGGGGAUGAAGAUGAGAAAAAAAUAAUAAUAAUAAUAAGCAAAAAUCACAAGCUGUUGAACAAAUUUCCAAUUUUUAUGUUCAUAAAUUAUGUUUUUAACAUUUACAAUGUAGAACUACAAGGUUUCAGUAUGGUAAAGCACCUUCUGAAAGACAAGUAAUUUAUAAAGCAGAGCAAGUUAGAUUCAUCCUGGUCGGUUUUAAUUAAUUAAAGCACUUCAUUUGCUGUUAUUAAUUUAUAAGUUCAAAAUUUACUAUUAACAAUUGUGGAAGACAAAAGUAUGGCAAUAUGAAAAAUGAAAUGAAAAAACUGAAAAUGUAUGAUAAUAUGAAAAACUGAGAUGAAAUGAAACCCUUACCCAUGCAUUUGGAUGACAUAAUUGAGAAGUUGAAAGUCCUCAAAAGCAGAGCCAAAGAUGGAAAGAAAUACAAACUAUUUCAAUCUUUUAAGUCCUCCAUCCCCUUCUUCACCAUCAUGGCUAAAGCUUCUUUUGUUCCCAGCAACUCUCUUUUCAGUAGCAUCCACGUAAAAUACAUGAACACCACAUCUCUCCACCUUGAUAUACUUUUCUCCUCCAUCAUUGUCUUCAUCGAAAUGGAAAUUGUUAAUGUAGAAUUCAAAUGUUGCCUCCUCAUAAUUCUUGUCUUCUAUAACCAUGUCGAUGCUAGAUAGAAUAAACACGUGAUAAUCCAUGUACUAAACUGGCUCAUAAAAACUGCGGAAAGAGAUCUCACUUCUGAAAUUUUCACAACCACCUCCACCAUUGCCGCCAACGGCAGUUGUAAGUUGGUACUCACAAAUACAUUCACGUAAUUGAAAUUCAAGGCAGUGAGUGAGAUCAACCACAAGGCAGAUAGCAAAAACCAAAAAUCUGCUCCCACUACCCCCAUUUGGGGCUAUCUUCAAACUUAAGGAAGAAUUCAUGCUCUGACACUUGAACAUAUUUGCUGAAAUUUUGUUUCCUGGGAAACAACAAAUCAAACUUGGAGCUCUGUCAGGGUUGUAUUGCCAAUCAUAUCUCGCUGCCCAUUUCUUAGCUAGGGAUCCAAUUUUGAGCAUGGUAUUUGCCUCAAUGUUAUUAGUUGAGUCUUGAUUCAAGUUGAAGCAAUUACGGAAUCGCAUCAAAAAGUUAUGAUUUAUGCAAAACUCAUCAUCUAAAGAAUCAAACUGAUUUAAAUUUUGAUCUGCGAAGGAUACUUUUUCUAAUGAUGUGCAGUCAUUUACACUCAAGACUUCCAGAUAUGGUGGAAGCUCUGAGAGUAAUUCGACCUUUGGGCAACCACUAAGAUCCAGAUAAUGAAGAGAUUCCAACUUGAUCGAUACAUUUUUGACCGCUGAGCCACUCAUAUUUAAGUGCUGAAGAUUACAUAGAGAGUCGAAAGGCAACGACACUUCUUCAAUUUGAGUGCCAGAUAAGUUUAAUUUUAUUAAGCUUCCUGGGAUUUCUGGAAAUUUGACCAUUGGGCAUCCACUAAGAUUCAGUUUGCGAAUGGAUUCCAACUUGAUCGAUACAUUUUUGACCGCUGAGCCACUCAUUUUUAAGUGCUGAAGAUUACAUAGGGGGUCGAAAGGCAACGACACUUCUUCAAUUGGGCAACCACUAAGAUCCAAUUUACGAAGGAAUUCCAACUUUAAAAUAUUGAUCGAUACUUUUUUCACCUUUGACUUCCCUAACCACAAAGUUUCAAGUUUGUGGUAGAUCCUUAAUUGAAUCAGACACUUCUUCUACUUUGGUUUCUGAUAAAUCUAAAGAGCAAAAGGGAGGUGGGACAUUAGGAAACUUCUUGAGACUAUAACAUCCGUUAAGACGAAGACUAUAUUGAUGAAGAGAUGCCAAAUGAUUGAGGCAAGGAAGUUCAACCAAACUUUUACAGUUAGAGCAACCAAGGAAUUCAAGGUUGAUUGCUCUUGAAAGAUUAGAUAUCUUCCUUAAAUUCACGCACCCAUCAAAGUAAAUUUUCCUUAAAUGAACAAGGUCCUGUACAGAAAAAAUAAUUGUUUUACUUUUAAGCAUCAACCACUUACUUUAGACCGUAAAAUAUGUAAAGGAAAUAAAUAAUUAUAAUACGAUAAAAAAUAAAAAUUUAUAUUUGAUGUAUCAAGGGUGAAAAUCCACCCACAGCUAAUAAAUCAAAUGAUGUCACUUAUCUAAAUAAAAUAAAUUCUUUUAUAUAUAUUUUUAAAAACCUUUAAAUAAAAUAUUAUCAUAUGAAUAUUUGAUACAUCAAAUUAUAAAUUAUUUUUUUCAAAAAAAAAAGAGUAUAAAAAUGCAUACCAUACGAUCAUCUUCAUCCCAAAGUUCAACCAAACUUUGACAGUAAGAGCAAUCAAGGAAUUCAAGGUUGAUGGCUCUUGAAAGAUUACAUAUCUUCCUUAUAUUUUUGCAUUCUGAAAUAUAAAUUUCCCUUAAAUUAACAAGCUCCUGUAUGGAAACAACAUUUGUAUUGCUUUGAAGCAUCAACUACUUACUUUAAGUAGUAAAAAAUGAAAAAGGAAAUAAAUAAUUAUAAUACUAAGAAAAAUAAAAAUUCAUAUUUGAUGUAUUGGGUGUGAAAAUUAACACACAAUUAAUAGAUCAAAUGAUGCCACUAAUUUAUAUAAAAUAAAAUAAAAUCUUUCAUAUUUCUUUUUUAAAAACUUUAAUUAAGAUGUCAACAUAUCAUAUGAUUAUUUGAUACAUUAAAUUAAAAAAAAUCUUAAAUGAAAUAAGUAUGAAAGUACACAUACUAUAUGAUCAUCUUCAUUCCAAAGUUCAACCAGACUUUCACAGCCAAUGCAACGAAGGAGUUCAAGGUUGAUGGCACCUGAAAGAUUAUGCAUCUUCCUUAAAUUCUUGCAAUAUGAAACGUCAAUUUCCCUUAGAUUAGUAAGGUUCUGUGCAAAAGAAAAAUAUAUAAAAAUAAUUAUAUAUCAUUGUCAAGUAUCAUCUACUUACUUUAGGCAGUAAGAAAUAAAAAGAAAAUAAAUAAUUGACAAGAUCCUGCACAGGAUGAGAACGAAAGUAGUUUCAUUACUUUAGAGCAUCAUCUACUUAUAUUAAGAUUAUCAAAAUAAAAAUUUGUAUUGGGUGUAUUAAUUCACCCACCAUUAAUAGAUGAAAUUGCUUCUUUUAGAAAAAAAAAAUAUAUAUAUUUAAAAAAAUUAAAUAAAAUGAUUUCACUUAUUCAAAUAAAAUAAAAUGUUUCAUAUUUAUAUUUUAAAAACUUUAAAUAAAUAUCAUAUGAUAUAUUAUUUGACACAUCAAAUUAUAAAUCCUCUUUCUCCUUAAAAAAACUUCUUAAAUGAAGAAAGUAUGAAAGUAUAUACCAUAUUGUCAUCUUCACUCCAAAGUUGUUCCAUGUUGCCAUGUAAUAGUUUCAACAUGACAAGAUUUUUUGGAUUAAAACUAGAUAAAGAUUUGAAAGGGUAAACAUCCCAACAGAGAAACCUUAACUCAUCAGGAAGAGAUAUACUCUCAACUUGAUUUGCAUAUAGCUUCUUAAGCCAUAACAUUUUCUUAGGAAAGCUGAUGUUGAUAUAUCUAAGCUUAUGCAUCUUCUCAAUAGCAGUAGCACAAAACUGUAGACUAUCAACUUCAGUCAUGUCUACCUUUAUUCCUUUAAUUAGAUCAGUCCCCUGAUAAAAAAAAAUAUUUAUCAUGAAUUAACACAAAGAAAUUUAUGUACAUUCCAUUAAAUCAGUCAUAAAAAAGUUAAUUAUAUUAGGAAACACUUUAAACUAACGCAUACCUUUUUUUUUUUUUGAAGUUUGAAUUUUUUUAAUCAAAAUGGCUUUUUAUAAUUAAAAUUUAUUUUAAUAUAUGAAACUUUGAUUUGUAAUCAAGUAACUCAGCUCUUGUGUAUGUAUGUGAUGCUAUUUUUGUCUUAAAGAUUAUUAUCAACAAGAAAAAUUGUUCCAAUGAUGUUGGGGGGUGUUAAUUUCCAAGUCAAGGUCUUCCAUUGGGACAAAAUUGUUAAGUAAAUAAAAUUCCAUUCUUUGAAUUUCUUUUUGGGUCCUAACAAAAAUAUUGACUUCUACACACUUUGUGAUUUGGGUCAAUUGAACUGAAAUUUCAUAUAAUUUUCUUUAAGAAGAAGCACUUUCAGACAAUUUUAAGUGAAUUGAACUUAAAUUUCCCACAACUUUAUAAUUUUCACUUUUUUCCCCUAAAUGAAAAGUUUUGGGAAUGAAGGGUGUUGUGUUUCUAUUUUCCUAGGUAAAAUAAUGAUAGAUUUUCUUUCUGCUUUGGGGGUUUCCUAUUUAAUCCUUUAUUUUGAGCACAGGUAAGGUGAGUUUGGUUAAAAAGACCUCUUUAGUUUCUUUCAAUUUUGGAAUCGAAUAAAUUGGUCACUCUCAAAAAAGAAAAUCAAAGCAAUUGAAUCAUGGUUAAUUUUAAAGGUGAGUAACUAAGGACAACUAAUCGUGAUGUUAACGUCUUUCGUCAAUUGUACAUAAUUUUGAUUGGUAUAACAAUAAAUUUAGCCUUCAAUGUUUCCAUUUUUUGUCAAUUUGGUCUUGGUUCUAAAAAAUCAAUAAAUUUAGUAUCAACAUUUACACAAAUGUUGUGGGCUAAAUUUGUUAAAUCAAGACAAAAUUGUAAAAUUUGAGGGGUAAAUUUGUUAUUAUACUAAUCAAAAUUAUGUAAGUUUGAUGGACAACAUUAAUGUUGUGCUUAAUUUACUUUAAUUGCUCACUUUCGAAAUUGAUGGAAUUUAAAUUGUUCUAAUUUUUUUAAGGGAGAUCAAUUUACUAAAUAUCAACCUUGAGAUAGAUUGAAUAGAUCUUUUACCAACAAAUAUGCUUGCUUACAUUUAUUUUAAACAUAGAAUCCAAUCAGUUUUCUAAUUAAACAUGGAUUCACCUAAACUGAUUAGCAAGUAGGAAUGAGCAAAAUUCAAUUCUAUUUGUAUUGGCAAGCAUGCAAUCUUUGAUUUUUUCAAAGAUGAAUGGUGUCAGAAAGUUGGCACCGAAAAUCUAAGCAUUUAAGGCAUAGAUUUUUGAGUUGAAAUUUGGCUUGGAAUAAUUGCAAUUUUGGUCCCUAAUUGUAUAGGGACUUUGCAAGUUGAUCGUUGAGCUUCAACUAUAAAUAGGCCUAGCUAUUUCUCAUUUUCACCAUCCCACAAAUGCCAUUCUCUACUUAAGGCAUUAUUCUCUCUCCUUAUUUGUAAAAUUUCACUUGUAUUUUGGAGUGAAAUAUAUUUGGUAGUGCCCGAGGACGUAGGCAAAAUUUGCUGAACCUUGUUAAAAUUCUAGUGUUCUUUAUUGUUUAUUUUGCAUAUUUUGUAAGUGUGAUUGUAGUGAUUUAUUGUGCUAUUAAAUUACGAUAGAGGGAUAUUCUGGCUAGGAAAGACCUGGGAAUUGAACUUAGUGUGAUUUUUUAGUACAAUAAUUUUACUCUUUUACACGCUUUCGCGCAACAAUUGGUAUCUGAGCUAGAUUCGUACUUGGGGAAUACGACCAUUUACGAUACUAUUUACGUAUACGAUAUUGUUCAUCCACGGCACUAUUCACGUAGACGGUACUGUUCACAUAAACAGUAGUUGGGAUCGAGGAGAAGAAUGGCAGAGGCAUCGUCAUCAACAAAGACUACCGUGACCAAUGCAAAAUUUGAAGUAGAGAAAUUUGAUGGUACAAAUAAUUUUGGUAUGUGGCAAUGUGAGAUCCUGGAUGUCUUAUGUCAGCAAGAGUUGGAUAUAGCUCUUGAAGAAAAACCUGACAAGAUGGAUGACAAGGAGUGGGCCAAGAUCAAUAGACAGGCGUGUGGUACAAUCCGCUUAUGUCUGGCCAAAGAGCAGAAGUACUCUGUCAUGAGGGAGACAUCAGCAAAGAAGUUAUGGGAUACACUGGAAGAAAAGUUUCUAACGAAAAGUCUUGAAAAUAGGCUUUAUAUGAAAAAGAAACUUUUUCGAUUCACGUAUGCACUCGGUAUGUCGAUGAAUGACCAUGUGAACUCAUUUAAUAAAAUUUUAGCAGACUUGCUAAAUUUGGAUGAGAAGUUUGAAGAUAAGACAAGGCAUUAUUGUUGUUGAAUUCUCUUGCCGAUGAAUAUGAUCAUCUUACCACCACAUUGCUUCAUGGGAAGGAUACGAUCACAUUUGAUGCAGUCUGCAGUGCGUUGUACAGAUCUGAGACUCGAAAGAAAGAUAAAAGAGAUCACAGAGAUACAACUGCAGAAGUCUUAACAGUAAGAGGUCGUUCACACAGCAACAAACCUGGUAGAAGGGGCAAGUCCAAAGGGAGACCCGCCAAAGAUGAAUGUGCUUUUUGUCGUGAGAAAGGGCAUUGGAAAAAGAAUUGUCCUAAGUUACAAAAGGGCAAGGCUAUUUCUAAUGCAUGUGUAGCGGAGCAUGAUGAGGAGUCAGACUUUAGCUUGGUUGGCAUGGCAAUGACAUGUCAUACAGAUGAGUGGAUAUUGGAUUCGGGAUGUACUUACCAUAUGUGUCCUAAUAAGGACUGGUUUUCUAGUCUUGAAGAACUAGAAGGUGGAGUUGUUUUUAUGGGCAAUGACAGUGCCUGUAAGACAAUGGGAGUAGGUACAAUCAAAUUAAAGAAUCACGACGGCUCAAUCCAAGUCUUGAUAGAUGUUCGCUAUGUACCUAGCUUGAAGAAAAAUCUCAUCUCAUUAGGGGCCCUAGAAUCUGGGCUCACAGUCACUUUGAGAGAUGGAUUACUAAAGGUAGUAGCUGGGGUAUUGACAGUGAUGAAAGACACUAGAAGAAAUAACUUUUACUAUUUAAAUGGAAGUACAGUUAUUGGAUCAACAUCAACAGCUUCUGCAAAAGAUGCAGAUUCAGAGGCUACCAGUUUAUGGCAUAGGCGAUUGGGACAUGCUGGUGAAAAAGCUUUGCAGACUUUGGCGAAGCAAGGCUUGUUGAAAGGUGCAAAUUCUUGCAAAUUGGAAUUCUGUGAACAUUGUGUUCUGGGCAAGCAGACGAGGGUAAAAUUUGGUUCAGCAAUUCACAAUACGGAAGGAAUUCUGGACUACGUUCACAGUGACGUGUAGGGACCUACCAAAGUGGCUUCUUUGGGAGGUAUGCACUAUUUUGUUACUUUUGUUGAUGAUUAUUCAAGAAAAGUAUGGGUGUAUCUAAUGAAAAGAAAAAGUGAAGUUUUGGAUGCAUUUCUGAAGUGGAAGAAGAUGGUGGAGACUCAGACUGGUCGAAAGGUCAAACGACUUCGAUCAGAUAAUGGUACUGAGUACAAAAAUGAUCCAUUUCUACAAGUAUGUCAAGAUGAGGGCAUUGUGCGACACUUCACUGUCCGGGAUACACCACAGCAGAAUGGGGUGGCAGAACGUAUGAAUCGGACUAUACUGGAGAAAGUUCGAUGUAUGUUGUCCAAUGCUGGAUUGGGCAAGGAAUUUUGGGCUGAGGCAGUUACAUAUGCGUGCCAUCUAAUCAACCGGUUUCCAUCAGCUGCAAUAAAGGGAAAAACUCCUAUGGAGAUGUGGACUGGUAAACCUGCUACUGAUUAUGAUUCUUUACAUGUUUUUGGUUCCACUGCAUAUUAUCAUGUAAAAGAAUCUAAGUUAGACCCAAGAGCAAAGAAAGCAUUAUUCAUGGGUAUAACUGGUGGAGUAAAAUGAUACCGUCUCUGGUGUCCUGAUACAAGGAAGAUUGUUUUCAGUAGAGAUGUGACUUUUGAUGAAUCAACCAUGAUGAAGAACAAAGAUUCACAAAAGGAUGACAAAACCAGUAGUACUUUGCAGCAGGUGGAGCUUGAAAAGGUUAAUGAUGAUCCAGCUAAUAUUGAAGAAACAAAUGAUGAAGAAGUUUUGACUCAAGAACUUCUACAGCAACAAGAUUCAAUUGCAUAUAGGAGGCCAAGAAGAGAGAUUCGUAAGCCUGCUCGCUUUGAUGAUAUAGUGGCCUAUGCACUUUCAAUUGCAGAUGAUGAUGUUCCUUCUACUUACACAGAAGUAAUAAGUAACCCUGAUAGUGUAAAGUGGAAGCAAGCUAUGAAUGAAGAAAUGCAGUCUCUUCAUAAAAAUAGGACUUGGGAGUUGGUGACACUGCCCAAGGGAAAGAAGGCAAUUGGAUGUAAAUGGGUAUAUGCAAAGAAAGAAGGAUUUCCUGGUAAAAAUGAAAUUCGAUACAAGGCUAGAUUGGUAGCAAAGGGUUACGCUCAGAAAGAAGGAAUAGACUACAAUGAAGUGUUUUCUCCAGUUGUGAAGCAUUCGUCUAUUCGGAUUUUGCUAGCCUUGGUUGCGCAAUAUGACCUUGAACUAGCUCAGCUUGAUGUGAAGACGGCUUUUUUACACGGUGAUUUGGAAGAGGAAAUCUAUAUGACUCAACCUGAUGGAUUCAAGGUUGCUGGUAAAGAAAAUUGGGUUUGCAAACUGAUGAAGUCGCUUUAUGGAUUGAAAUAAUCUCCGAGACAGUGGUACAAGCGAUUUGAUCAGUUCAUGAAAGGGCAAAGGUACACAAGAAGUAAAUUUGAUCAUUGCGUGUAUUUUCAGAAGCUACAAGUAGGAACUUUCAUAUACUUGCUCUUAUAUGUUGAUGAUAUGCUGAUAGCAUCUAAGAGCAAAGUUGAGAUUGAGAAAUUGAAGACUCAACUCAAUCUUGAAUUUGAGAUGAAAGAUCUAGGUGAAGCUAAGAAGAUUCUUGGCAUAGAAAUAUGUAGAGAUAGAGCUCAAGGCAGAGUUAGCUUGUCUCAGAAGCAGUAUUUGAAGAAAGUACUACAGCAGUUUGGCAUGAACGAGCAGACCAAACCAGUAAGUACCCCGUUGGCUUCUCAUUUCAAGCUUUCUGCACAACUAUCUCCUUCGACGAAUACGGAACAAGAAUACAUGUUACAAGUUCCGUAUUCUAAUGUAGUGGGUAGCUUGAUGUAUGCAAUGGUGUGUACAAGACCCGACAUUUCACAAGCAGUUAGUAUAAUGAGCAGAUAUAUGCAUAAUCCUGGAAAAGGACAUUGGCAAGCUGUGAAAUGGAUUCUACGAUAUAUUCUGAAGACCGUGGAUGUUGGAUUACUGUUCAAGCAGGAUACUACACUUGGUAAAGGUGUUAUUGGGUACGUUGAUUCUGACUAUGCCGGUGAUUUGGACAAACGAAGAUCAACCACCGGUUAUGUGUUUACACUUGCUGGAGGACCAAUAAGUUGGAAGUCUACACUACAGUCUACAGUUGCGUUGUCAACCACAGAAGCCGAAUACAUGGCUGUAACAGAGGCUGUAAAGGAAGCUAUUUGGUUACAAGGUAUGGUUAAAACCUUGGGAUUGGUUCAGGAGCAUAUUGACGUGUAUUGUGAUAGUCAAAGUGCUAUUCAUUUAGCAAAGAAUCAAGUCUAUCAUGCACGUACAAAGCAUAUCGACGUACGAUUCCAUUUUGUGCGGGAAAUUAUUGAUGAGGGGAAAAUUCGUCUUCAGAAGAUCAAGACUGCAGAUAAUCCCGCAGAUAUGAUGACCAAGGUGGUAACAACAAUCAAGUUCGAACAUUGUUUGAGCUUGAUCAAUAUUCUGGAAGUCUAACAGUUGAAGAAGGCACUAUCAAGUAUUGUUGUCAAAGGCAGAAAGAAUUGUGUGAAGAUAAGAUUAUCCUAAUCAAAUCUUCAAGGUGGAGAUUAUUGGCAAGCAUGCAAUCUUUGAUUUUUUCAAAGAUGAAUGGUGUCAGAAAGUUGGCACCGAAAAUCUAAGCAUUUAAGGCAUAGAUUUUUGAGUUGAAAUUUGGCUUGGAAUAAUUGCAAUUUUGGUCCCUAAUUGUAUAGGGACUUUGCAAGUUGAUCGUUGAGCUUCAACUAUAAAUAGGCCUAGCUAUUUCUCAUUUUCACCAUCCCACAAAUGCCAUUCUCUACUUAAGGCAUUAUUCUCUCGCCUUAUUUGUAAAAUUUCACUUGUAUUUUGGAGUGAAAUAUAUUUGGUAGUGCCCGAAGACGUAGGCAAAAUUUGCUGAACCUCGUUAAAAUUCUAGUGUUCUUUAUUGUUUAUUCUACAUAUUUUGCAAGUGUGAUUGUAGUGAUUUAUUGUGCUAUUAAAUUACGAUAGAGGGAUAUUCUGGCUAGGAAAGACCUGGUACUUAAGCGAUCUUCGUGAUCCACCUCCCUUUCCUGGGAAUUGAACUUAGUGUGAUUUUUUAGUACAAUAAUUUUACUCUUUUACAUGCUACCGCGCAACAAUUUGAAAAAAUAGAAAAAAAAUCGAAUUUCAAAUUAUUCGAAUUGAGUUAAUUGAGUUAAUCAAAUUAAUUGACUCAACUUGAUUUUCUUUCAAAUUUCGAGUUCAAUUCGAGGAGUUUUCGAAUUCUAAGAAUCCAAAUAAUUCGAAUAAAUCAAUUGCCCAAACAAAAUUAAGCUAAAUGAUGUCCACCACAGAUCCUAUGAAUCAAAACCAACCAAUAACAAGUCAACUGCCAAAAAGAAUUCAAGUAUGAAUCUUAAUGUCUCUUCACUGCAAUGCUCAAACAACAUGAGAGGCAGUAACAUACAAAGAAAUUUCAGCCCUAACAGAUAUGAUAAUCAAAAUCCAAGAUAAGGAAAUAUCAACUCCAAUGCCUCUACCAUGAAACUAACUCAAUCUAGUCUGAGAAUGAAAACUGUCAAAGGUUGCCUCCAGCUCCAUGUGUUCAUCUCACAAGUUUUGAGAUCUGUUGCAAAUUCUGGAUUUAUAUAAUCCCAUUGAUAAAUAUGGGAAAAAAAUAUUUAAGGAUGCUGAAAAUCAUCAUAUGAACCUAAAAUCAUAAUAAUAAGUCAAAGUCAAAGGUAACUUACUUCUCCACCAAGACUGAAUUGCCAGAACCUAAAAAGGGCCUCAAAAGAUUACUUUGCAUUUGUGUAGACAAAUCUGUUGACAACUUGCAUUUUCACCAAAUAUCAGUUCAAACACUUGUAUAAAGCAAGCAUUCAGUAAAACAAAUUGAAGCUCUUACAGCUCAGGUGUUCCUCCUUGUAUGGCUAAAGCUCCAAUUCAGCAGUGGCAUUCUCAAAGAUCUGUCAUUCCCUCGUCUUACAUCAACACAAAAGCAAAGGAUAUAAGAAAAACCUGUCUCACAAAUAACCCAUCUUUCUAAUGAAAGAAAAUGCAGCAAGUAUUGAGAUACCAGAUGACACCAAUGCUGGAAACUAAACAAUGAAGCUGAAUCGAGUCCACAUUUGGC